Molecule: long non-coding RNA, 1919 nt
Filed under: Nicotiana benthamiana
Lineage: Eukaryota; Viridiplantae; Streptophyta; Magnoliopsida; Solanales; Solanaceae
Description: long non-coding RNA (NBEN_LNC024585)
Rfam family: Small nucleolar RNA snoR74 (bases 964-1097)
Source: RNAcentral
AAUUAUAAAACAUUCUCCGUAUUAGGGUUUUCUCUGUAAACGCUAUAUAUACAGUAGUAAGCCUACCUUGAAAUAAACGCCAAUCCACCAAUGCCGCCCCACUACACUUCUACUGCCGUCUCUUCUCUUUUGCUACGCCUGAGCAACCUAUCUGCUAAGUUUGCUCGUCUUCAGAUUUUGAUUGUUGUUGGUAACUAGUUUUCCUCUUGUUCUUUAUUUAGUUUUUCUGUAUUCCCCCUAAUUUUAUAUUUUUCGAAUAAUAUUAGGUGACUAGAUGAAUAGAGUUUAUGAAAAUCAGCUCGUAUAGUUGAUUUCUAUCUUUAGAUAAAAUAUAUGCAAACUGAAUUAUAUUUGUGACAAUAAUGUAAAAAAAUGGCUUCACAAAAGAGUCAGCAGCAAGUACCAGUUAAUGGUAACCCGUCUGCCGCAUGAAGCCUAAAUAAACCAAUUUCCAAAAUGAAGACCCAUGAGAAUCAUUGUUUUCUCAUGACACAAUAUUUUUUGGUAUAUACUAAAUAUAUAUUCACAAUUUCUAUAUAAUUUUGGUUGUUGGAGGAGAGGCAGGCAUUUCUCAGACAACGGGGGUUUAUUUAAUUCUAUAAAAAACUACCUUUUGCACGGUGCCUAUAAAAUGCUGCUUAUCACGAUUGAAGGGUGUUCUGCUUUUGGCUAAGCAUUCCUUCAAAUUAAUUGUAGCCAAAUUAUUUAAUUUUCCUCUAUUUAUUUGGCGAUGAUGAGUUGCUAACACGUAAGAAGAUCUAAUUUAAGCUUGGAUCAGCUUGGAUCUUCAAUGAAAUUCACUUGUUACGCUUGGCUUCUGAGCUUUAUGGAUUAAAUUGUAAUUUUUUUAAAGUAUAAGUUACAAAACCUGAUGAUAAAAGCAGGGAUCAAUUGCCUUAUUUGUGAAUUGGUCUCUCUAUUAAAAUUGUUAUUUUUUAAAAAUCCGAGUUACAAAACCUGAUGAUAAAAGCAGGGAUCAAUUGCCUUGAUUUGUGAAUUGGUCUCUCGUAAACGUCAGGGAAAUAAUAAUUGCAUUGUUAUUGGGUGAACCACUUGACCCCUCAUGAUGGAAUGGUUCAGUAAACGAUGAUACAUAUUUUUCUGUUAGAAACAUUUGCAUUGAGUAAUAAUUUUAGGAUGACAGAACCCUCGGUGGCAAUUGAUCUGAGUUUUGGGAUUUGCUUCAUUGCAAGGUCUCAAGUUCAAAACCACAGGGUGCAAAUAAUUUGUAAGGGCCAUCUGACUGGCUACAACAUGAGUUAACUGUGGUGCAUUGUGGGAAACUCCCUGCGGAGGGCCUGUGCACUCCCCGGAUUAGUCGAGUCUCCCAGAGAUUCCAACCCCCGGUGCAAAUAAAAAAAUUAGGAUGAUAGUGUACAGCAAUUUCCAGUUUUUUCUGAAUUGGUGAAGUCUUAAAUUUCAUAUUGAUGCGUACAUCAGUCAAUAUUUUGGCAUUUGUCUCCCCCUUAUGUUGUCCUCCUGGUGUGAGAUAUGAAUUUCAAUUCCAAAUGUGAUUACUUGCUUAAAGUUUCCCUACAUAUUCUGAAGAAUAUACUAAUUGGCUUUGAGAUGUGAUUUUUCUAAUAGUAAGCAAUCUUCAAGGAUAUGUUAUUGUGAUAAAGGAUAUUAACCAGAUUGGAUGCAGAGCUUGUCGGCGUAUUAAACAGACAAAAAUAGCUCCAAAAAGAAAGAAAAAAGAAAUCUGUUAUGAAUUUAAUCUAGCAUUUAAGUUGGUAAUGAGAAUAAUUUAGAGCGAGCAAAGAUAAAAGAUUUUCGGAUUAAUUUGCUCAAAUAAAUUUGGUAAUAGCAUUCAAAAAUCAAACAAAGAUAAAAGAUUUUCGGAUUAAUUUGCUCAAAUAAAUUUGGUAAUAGCAAUCAAAAAUCAAACACAGAUUGGAAUAAUGGUUAAAGCAGUAACU